CCACAAAGUUUAAUUAAUCGUUUUAGCAAAAAAAUGUAUUUUACUCCCCAAAUAAUUUACACCAAAAUAAUAUAGAAGUUUCUAUAAAAAGGCGCGAAGCGUGGCCAUGCGGUUUACUGCUAGACUACUGGAGCGAAAAGUGCAAAACAUUGCUGGUUGUUUUUCCAAAGUUAAAUCGUAUUCACAGAAACUCACAGAAAAUUGGACUAGUCAAAAAGUAAAACAGUAAAGUAAAAGUCACUUUCUAAAAUAAUAAAGUAGCACUAGCACAUGAAACUGGGAAAGGCUUGCGACAUCAGUAUUUACAUCAAAAGUAAACACAACCAACACUGAUAUGCUUUUCUACGACAUUCAUUUCUCAAGGUUAACCGUUUCUCCUGCACGUUCUUCUCUUGCAUCCUUGAUGACAUUAUUGUUGCCUGAAUCACUCAACAGAUUGAUUCCAGAUUCUCUAUCCCUGCUUGAUUGUACGGUUCCAAGCUCUAUUGAUUCCCUUUGUUCGUUCUGACUCUUACACAGCUUUGGGACCUCGACUACUAAUAUUGGUAACAAAAUAAUAAAUGCGACUAUAACCCCAAUCAACCACCAAGCACAAAACUUGCAAAGAUUUGUUCGAAGGUGGUGGUCUACACACGCAGUCAGGUUGGUGGGCAGACACAUGUGUUGUUUCAUUUUGUAAACUUCUGUUCUGCGACAAUUAUCUCUAAUAUAUGUCCCAUUUCGCUUUAUCCACGCUUUGCCAAAUGCAUCAAUGUUUUCACUCUAAAAAAUUGAUACUUUACUAAAAUUCAUAUUGAUACUUUACCUUUUCCUAAAUUAAAGGUAUUCUAAAUAGUUGCAAUUAACAAAACACUUAGAUAUUUA
Molecule: non-coding RNA, 864 nt
Organism: Ciona intestinalis (vase tunicate)
Lineage: Eukaryota; Metazoa; Chordata; Ascidiacea; Phlebobranchia; Cionidae
Source: RefSeq, a predicted model, not a curated record